ACGCAGCGAAUUGCGAUAUGUAAUGUGAAUUGCAGAUCUACAGUGAAUCAUCGAAUCUUUGAACGCACAUUGCGCUCCUCGGUGUUCCGAGGAGCAUGCCUGUUUGAGUGUCAGUAAAUUCUCAACCCCUCUCGAUUUGCUUCGAGGGGGAGCUUGGAUAGUGGGGGCUGC
RNAcentral lists this ribosomal RNA (171 nucleotides) under Chroogomphus confusus. RNAcentral's name for it is "5.8S ribosomal RNA". The stretch from base 1 to 113 matches the Rfam family "5.8S ribosomal RNA", at positions 43 to 154 of the family's 154-position model. From Rfam's summary of the family: 5.8S ribosomal RNA (5.8S rRNA) is a component of the large subunit of the eukaryotic ribosome. It is transcribed by RNA polymerase I as part of the 45S precursor that also contains 18S and 28S rRNA. The record is from RNAcentral. Lineage: Eukaryota; Fungi; Basidiomycota; Agaricomycetes; Boletales; Gomphidiaceae.